GACGAACGCUGGCGGCGUGCUUGACACAUGCAAGUCGAACGGAAAGGCCCUGCUUUUGUGGGGUGCUCGAGUGGCGAACGGGUGAGUAACACGUGAGUAACCUGCCCUUGACUUUGGGAUAACUUCAGGAAACUGGGGCUAAUACCGGAUAGGAGCUCCUGCUGCAUGGUGGGGGUUGGAAAGUUUCGGCGGUUGGGGAUGGACUCGCGGCUUAUCAGCUUGUUGGUGGGGUAGUGGCUUACCAAGGCUUUGACGGGUAGCCGGCCUGAGAGGGUGACCGGCCACAUUGGGACUGAGAUACGGCCCAGACUCCUACGGGAGGCAGCAGUGGGGAAUAUUGCACAAUGGGCGGAAGCCUGAUGCAGCAACGCCGCGUGCGGGAUGACGGCCUUCGGGUUGUAAACCGCUUUCGCCUGUGACGAAGCGUGAGUGACGGUAAUGGGUAAAGAAGCACCGGCUAACUACGUGCCAGCAGCCGCGGUGAUACGUAGGGUGCGAGCGUUGUCCGGAUUUAUUGGGCGUAAAGGGCUCGUAGGUGGUUGAUCGCGUCGGAAGUGUAAUCUUGGGGCUUAACCCUGAGCGUGCUUUCGAUACGGGUUGACUUGAGGAAGGUAGGGGAGAAUGGAAUUCCUGGUGGAGCGGUGGAAUGCGCAGAUAUCAGGAGGAACACCAGUGGCGAAGGCGGUUCUCUGGGCCUUUCCUGACGCUGAGGAGCGAAAGCGUGGGGAGCGAACAGGCUUAGAUACCCUGGUAGUCCACGCUGUAAACGGUGGGUACUAGGUGUGGGGUCCAUUCCACGGGUUCCGUGCCGUAGCUAACGCUUUAAGUACCCCGCCUGGGGAGUACGGCCGCAAGGCUAAAACUCAAAGGAAUUGACGGGGCCCCGCACAAGCGGCGGAGCAUGCGGAUUAAUUCGAUGCAACGCGUAGAACCUUACCUGGGUUUGACAUGGAUCGGGAGUGCUCAGAGAUGGGUGUGCCUCUUUUGGGGUCGGUUCACAGGUGGUGCAUGGCUGUCGUCAGCUCGUGUCGUGAGAUGUUGGGUUAAGUCCCGCAACGAGCGCAACCCUUGUUCACUGUUGCCAGCACGUUAUGGUGGGGACUCAGUGGAGACCGCCGGGGUCAACUCGGAGGAAGGUGGGGAUGACGUCAAGUCAUCAUGCCCCUUAUGUCCAGGGCUUCACGCAUGCUACAAUGGCUGGUACAGAGAGUGGCGAGCCUGUGAGGGUGAGCGAAUCUCGGAAAGCCGGUCUCAGUUCGGAUUGGGGUCUGCAACUCGACCUCAUGAAGUCGGAGUCGCUAGUAAUCGCAGAUCAGCAACGCUGCGGUGAAUACGUUCCCGGGGCU
Molecule: ribosomal RNA, 1346 nt
Filed under: uncultured bacterium
Lineage: Bacteria
Description: partial 16S ribosomal RNA
Rfam family: Bacterial small subunit ribosomal RNA
Source: RNAcentral